Molecule: ribosomal RNA, 253 nt
Filed under: uncultured bacterium
Lineage: Bacteria
Description: partial 16S ribosomal RNA
Rfam family: Bacterial small subunit ribosomal RNA
Source: RNAcentral
UACGUAGGGUGCAAGCGUUAAUCGGAAUUACUGGGCGUAAAGCGUGCGCAGGCGGUUGUGCAAGACAGAUGUGAAAUCCCCGGGCUUAACCUGGGAACUGCAUUUGUGACUGCAUGGCUAGAGUGCGGCAGAGGGGGAUGGAAUUCCUGGUGUAGCAGUGAAAUGCGUAGAUAUCAGGAGGAAUACCGAUGGCGAAGGCAGGUCUCUGGGCUGACACUGACGCUCAUGCACGAAAGCGUGGGGAGCAAACAGG